Long non-coding RNA from Manacus vitellinus (golden-collared manakin), 289 nucleotides. RefSeq lists it as uncharacterized. NCBI's taxonomy places the organism in Eukaryota, Metazoa, Chordata, Aves, Passeriformes, Pipridae. The transcript is spliced from 3 exons. The record is from RefSeq and is a predicted model, not a curated record.
GUAAGGGUGUGCUGCAAGUUUGUCCCUUUACUUAACUUCCCCUAGAAGAGAGGAAAGAGAACCUUUCUGUGGUGAAGCAUAUGAAGUCUGUCUGGAAGUCCCCGUUUUUGCAGACUGAUGAUGCUGAUACCUCCAGAACAUGACGGUUAUUGAUUUUCCAUCUUGUAUCUCAGAAGAAACCACACAGGUCUGAUGUACCUGUACUUCUCUGCCCCCAGCAGCACAGAUGGCAGCGUUGUGCUCACACUGUGUUCUUGGAUCGUGUGGAGGAAAAGCUUUGCCAGCUGCA